RNAcentral lists this ribosomal RNA (497 nucleotides) under uncultured bacterium. Its description in RNAcentral is "partial 16S ribosomal RNA". It matches the Rfam family "Bacterial small subunit ribosomal RNA", at positions 28 to 507 of the family's 1533-position model. The record is from RNAcentral.
GAUGAACGCUGGCGGCGUGCCUAAUACAUGCAAGUCGAGCGAACAGACGAGGAGCUUGCUCCUCUGAUGUUAGCGGCGGACGGGUGAGUAACACGUGGAUAACCUACCUAUAAGACUGGGAUAACUUCGGGAAACCGGAGCUAAUACCGGAUAACAUGUUGAACCGCAUGGAUCAACAGUGAAAGACGGUCUUGCUGUCACUUAUAGAUGGAUCCGCGCCGCAUUAGCUAGUUGGUAAGGUAACGGCUUACCAAGGCAACGAUGCGUAGCCGACCUGAGAGGGUGAUCGGCCACACUGGAACUGAGACACGGUCCAGACUCCUACGGGAGGCAGCAGUAGGGAAUCUUCCGCAAUGGGCGAAAGCCUGACGGAGCAACGCCGCGUGAGUGAAGAAGGUCUUCGGAUCGUAAAACUCUGUUAUUAGGGAAGAACAAAUGUGUAAGUAACUAUGCACGUCUUGACGGUACCUAAUCAGAAAGCCACGGCUAACUACGUG